RNAcentral lists this ribosomal RNA (253 nucleotides) under uncultured bacterium. RNAcentral describes it as "partial 16S ribosomal RNA". It matches the Rfam family "Bacterial small subunit ribosomal RNA", at positions 524 to 776 of the family's 1533-position model. The record is from RNAcentral.
UACGUAGGAUGCAAGCGUUGUCCGGAUUUACUGGGCGUAAAGCGCGCGCAGGCGGCAGUACAAGUACCCUCUGAAAUCUCCUUGCUCAACGAGGAGGAGUGGAGGUAGACUGUGCAGCUAGAGGAGGGUAGAGGGGGGUAGAAUUGCUGGUGUAGCGGUGAAAUGCGUAGAGAUCAGCAGGAAUACCCGUGGCGAAGGCAGCUCUCUGGGACGGUACUGACGCUGAGACGCGAAAGCGUGGGGAGCGAACAGG